Molecule: ribosomal RNA, 421 nt
Filed under: uncultured bacterium
Lineage: Bacteria
Description: bacterial SSU rRNA
Rfam family: Bacterial small subunit ribosomal RNA
Source: RNAcentral
UAGGGAAUAUUGGGCAAUGGCCGAGAGGCUGACCCAGCCAUGCCGCGUGCAGGAUGAAGGCUUUCUGAGUCGUAAACUGCUUUUGCCAGGGAAGAAUAAGGUUCGUGCGCGGACCGACGACGGUACCUGGUGAAUAAGCCCCGGCUAACUCCGUUCCAGCAGCCGCGGUAAGACGGAGGGUGCAAGCGUUGUCCGGAUUUAUUGGGUUUAAAGGGUGCGUAGGCGGCUGAUUAAGUCCGGGGUGAAAGCCCACUGCUCAACAGCGGAACUGCCCUGGAAACUGGUCGGCUUGAGUACAGACGAGGGUGGCGGAAUGGAUGGUGUAGCGGUGAAAUGCAUAGAUACCAUCCAGAACCCCGAUUGCGAAGGCAGCUGCCUAGACUGUAACUGACGCUGAGGCACGAAAGCGUGGGGAGCGAAC